Molecule: ribosomal RNA, 500 nt
Filed under: uncultured bacterium
Lineage: Bacteria
Description: partial 16S ribosomal RNA
Rfam family: Bacterial small subunit ribosomal RNA
Source: RNAcentral
GACGAACGCUGGCGGCGUGCCUAAUACAUGCAAGUCGAGCGGACUGAUUAAGAGCUUGCUCUUAUGACGUUAGCGGCGGACGGGUGAGUAACACGUGGGCAACCUGCCCUGUAGAUCGGGAUAACACCGAGAAAUCGGUGCUAAUACCGGGUAAUAUCUGAGAUCACAUGAUCUUAGGUUAAAAGAUGGCUCCGGCUAUCACUACAGGAUGGGCCCGCGGCGCAUUAGCUAGUUGGUAAGGUAAUGGCUUACCAAGGCGACGAUGCGUAGCCGACCUGAGAGGGUGAUCGGCCACACUGGGACUGAGACACGGCCCAGACUCCUCCGGGAGGCAGCAGUAGGGAAUCUUCCGCACUGGACGAAAGUCUGACGGAGCAACGCCGCGUGAGUGAUGAAGGGUUUCGGCUCGUAAAGCUCUGUUGUUAGGGAAGAAACAGUACCGAACGAACUAGGUCGGUACCUUGACGGUACCUAACCAGAAAGCCACGGCUAACUACGUG